Long non-coding RNA from Equus caballus (horse), 2693 nucleotides. NCBI's taxonomy places the organism in Eukaryota, Metazoa, Chordata, Mammalia, Perissodactyla, Equidae. The record is from Ensembl.
GAGCCUGGCAUUGCCUAUAAACGCCAUGGAAACACAUGCAGGAGCAUACACAGAUAUGCUCAUAAAUGCCUUAGGUACACCUCACUAGUACCUGUGGUUUUCUCCUACAACACACAUCAGCCACUAAAGGGCUCCAAAACUCAGCUUGAGGACACGUUGCCUUCUUCUUUCUGUUUUGCAAGGACAAAUCUGACAGAAACGUAGAAUCUGUGUAGAUAUUUAAACAGCCCAGGCGACAGGGAAAGCCUUCAGCCCGACCAUGAAGGAUAGACUUUACGACAACAUCCACUAUACAGAUGAGCCCUCAAAUUAGUGCAGGAGCCACGAGUCCCGGGGCUCGAGGAGAGAGGCGGCCACCGCUCUACCUCUGCCACCGGCCGCACCGCCAGGGGCAUCCAUCACAAAGCUGUCUGCUGCUUUCACAACCAAAGUCUUCGGAGCAUUUAAGACAGUGGUCUAUAUUUCACCCUGUAUGUGGUUCCUCUUCAUCCAAAGUAGAACAAAACGCUAAGACAAUACUUAGAUUAAAAUGGUGUAAAUGCCAAGACCUCAUGUGCGACCCCACAGACAGUUGAACGUAAACACCGCGUUCAUGAGGCACCCGCCUAUCCCAGUCACCUACACGCAUCCACCUGGGAGCUUCUGGAGCAGGCAUUAUCACCUCCCCGGUACAGAUGGGGACUUGAAUGCUGAGAAAAGGAGAGCAACAUGGCGGAGUUCAGACCAUGCCUACUGAGGUCCAAGUCUGGAGUCUUGACCAUCAGGUUCAGGUCACAGGGGCCAAACUGACCUGAUGGCCAAGUGCCCUUUUCCUCAGUCAGGCCCAAUCCCACCAUCCAAGAGACACUGCCACUUCCAUUCAGACUUCCAUGCAGCAGCAGGAAGCCAUUGGGACGCUACGGACAUCCUAACUAGCCCAGCAGAGUGGUACAUACACUGGGGACAAAGGCAAGAUUUCCAAGAGGACCUGGAAUUACCAGACAUGCCAGGUCAGCAAGGUCAUGACUAAUGGGUAACUUUGAUCCCUGGAUUUCUAAUGGCACUCAAGUGUGGUGAUGGGUCUCCAGGCAGACUGGACAUUGGGCAGCUGGUAAAGAAGAAAUGGUCUCUGGGAGAUUUUCCCACAGCCUGAAGAGGCCCAAGCCAGGGAGGAUGCAGGACAAAACCAAUGUUAGUCCCUGAGGGGAAGCAGAAGGAGAAUAGAGGUGAAAGAGGGGUAUCCAGGAUGUGACUCGAAAGACAUCAAGAGCUGGUGCUUGAUGAUCAUGUGGGAUCUGUGUAGCUAUGAGUUAGACCAUCCUGGGACUAGGACCCAGAAAAUGAUUAAUCCUAACAUUUCGUCUGCUCAGGAUUGGCCGUGGAACCAAAAUGGCAGGGUAGACAUGUGGGAGCUUAGCUGUGAGAAGCCUGGGAAGAAGGGUCCACUACCACCUCCCCAAUUGCAAUUCUCUUGAAGAGAGAUGUAUUAAGCCAAAGAACGGGAUUUCUUAAGAGAAGGGUAUGGACAGGAAAUAGGUUGCUGAGUCCCAACAAAUCAUGAAGAGAAAUGUAACAGAACAGAAAGUUUCUAGAGUGGGACAUCAGAAAGAUGUGGGUGUGAAUUCCAGUUCAACCGCUUAACAGUUACGUGUGCCAGGAAAUCUCAGAGCUUCCCCUGCCUUAUCUGUUAAACAAGGAAAAUAGUAAUAAGGCCUACCUAUAGUAGGCACACCCAUCAUGCCUCCCUACUCAAGCUUCUUUCUGAGCCCUCAGUCCUGGCAGCAUCUGGGCCAUGUCAACCUACCUAAAUCUGUCAUCUACUUAUAUCCGUCAUCUCUGGCAUUGGACCCAGGCUGGAUCCCAGACUGAAUCUAGACCAAUGGGCACCUGGGAAUUCAGAUUUGGGACUUUGUAGGCAAAGCUGGUUAUCUGUGAGUAGAUGAACUUCUAGGUUAGGUAGACUCGGUCACUAAGAGCACCACUGGUGUGCAAGCAGUUGAAUGAGAAGACGUGCAGCAGGAAGCAAAGAUAGCGAAAUUUCUUUCUCUAGCCCUAGUCCCCACAAGGCUGCAAUUAGAUUCUAAGGGAUUUAUCUAUAUGUAACAAUAAAUUUUCCUUUUAUUUGAGCCUCUUUGAGAGAGUUUCUGGUGCAUGCAAGCAUUUUGCCCUGAUUGAGAUCCUCAACAAAUAGUAGCAAUUACAAUGAUGACUCCAAGACGAGUACAGUGACGAAGAUGAUGACUUCCAUGACAUCAAAUGCUCUUGUGUAGCCCUUUCUUGAAAAUUUCUUCAUGGAGACACCUGACUGAGUUCUGUUUCCUUCCAGGAUCUUUCUGCUCCUCCCUCUUCCCCCUCCUGCUCCUCCUCCUCACCUCCCACUCCCUACCCUACCCCAACAUUCCCUUCUAAAACAGGCCAAGCAGCUAAGGGAGUUGCAUCUUUGGAACACUCUUGCCACAAUGGAUGUGAAGAACACCUAUAAGGAAGGAACUGAGGCUGCUCCCGCAUUUCACAUACCACUUUAUGGCAGAUGGGAACCGGAAGUCACUGAUCAGUCAGUCCUUCCUAGCACUGGUGCCAAGAAAAGAAAGCACCUGGGUUUAAUUACCAAGCCCAAGGAGAGUCCUGGGAACGUCUAGUCUCCGUGCCACCUUCAGAUUGUCUCCUUUACUUGGUGGUUUGAUUACCAUAUCUGUCAAAUACAUCUUUUAAAC